GGCAGGCUUCGGAUUAUUGGGCGUAAGGGUGCGCAGGCGGUAUGUUAAGUCAACUGUUAAAUAUCCCAGCCUAACUGGGAACCAGCAGUAGAUACUGAUGUGCUAGAGGAUGGAAGAGAGAAGUGGAAUUCUCGGAGUAGCGGUAAAAUGCGUAGAUCUCGAGAGGAACACCAAUGGCGAAGGCAGCUUCUUGGUCCAUACCUGACGCUCAUGCACGAAAGCGUGGGGAGCAAACAGGAUUAGAUACCCUGGUAGUCCACGCCGUAAACGAUGAUCACUAGACGUUACCCUUGCGUUGCUUGGGUAGUGUCGUAGCUAACGCGUUAAGUGAUUCGCCUGGGGAGUACGGUCACAAGAUUAAAACUCAAAGGAAUUGACGGGGACCCGCACAAGCAACGGAGCGUGUGGUUUAAUUCGAUGCGACGCGAAGAACCUUACCAGGGCUUGACAUGCACGCAAAACUUUCAGAAACGGGAGGUCCUUCGGGGUGCGUGCACAGGUGCUGCAUGGCUGUCGUCAGCUCGUGCCGUGAGGUGUUGGGUUGAGUCCCGCAACGAGCGCAACCCCUGUGGUCGGUUGAGAUUUCCGAGCAGACUGCCACGCCAAACGUGGAGGAAGGUGGGGAUGACGUCAAGUCAGCACGGCCCUUACGUCCUGGGCGACACACACGCUACAAUGGCCGAGACAGCGAGUAGCCAACCCGCGAGGGGGAGCCAAUCUUAGCAAACUCGGUCUCAGUUCGGAUGGUAGGCUGCAACCCGCCUGCCUGAAGCCGGAGUUGCUAGUAACCGUGGGUCAGCACACCACGGUGAAUACGUUCCCGGGUCUUGUACACACCGCCCGUCACACCACGAAAGUCGGCAACACCUGAAGCCGCUGGGCUAACCCUUUGGGGAGGCAGGCGUCGAGGGUGGGGUUGGUGAUUGGGGGUGAAGUCGUAACAAGGUAACC
This 951-nucleotide ribosomal RNA is filed under the name uncultured bacterium. RNAcentral's name for it is "bacterial SSU rRNA". It matches the Rfam family "Bacterial small subunit ribosomal RNA", at positions 537 to 1501 of the family's 1533-position model. The record is from RNAcentral.